CCUACGGGUGGCAGCAGUGAGGAAUAUUGGUCAAUGGGCGCGAGCCUGAACCAGCCAAGUAGCGUGAAGGAUGACUGCCCUACGGGUUGUAAACUUCUUUUAUAAAGGAAUAAAGUGAGGCACGUGUGCCUCUUUGUAUGUACCUUAUGAAUAAGGAUCGGCUAACUCCGUGCCAGCAGCCGCGGUAAUACGGAGGAUCCGAGCGUUACCCGGAUUUCAUGGGUUUAAAGGGAGCGUAGAUGGGUUGUUAAGUCAGUUGUGAAAGUUUGCGGCUCAACCGUAGAAUUGCAAUUGAUACUGGCAGUAUUGAGUGCAGGUGAGGUAGGCGGAAUGCGUGGUGUAGCGGUGAAAUGCUUAGAUAUCACGAAGAACUCCGAUUGCGAAGGCAGCUUACUAAACUGCCACUGACAUUGAUGCUCGAAAGUGUGGGUAUCAAACAGGAUUAGAUACCCGGGUAGUC
Molecule: ribosomal RNA, 460 nt
Filed under: uncultured bacterium
Lineage: Bacteria
Description: partial 16S ribosomal RNA
Rfam family: Bacterial small subunit ribosomal RNA
Source: RNAcentral